This 253-nucleotide ribosomal RNA is filed under the name uncultured bacterium. Its description in RNAcentral is "partial 16S ribosomal RNA". It matches the Rfam family "Bacterial small subunit ribosomal RNA", at positions 524 to 776 of the family's 1533-position model. The record is from RNAcentral.
UACGGAGGGGGCUAGCGUUGUUCGGAAUUACUGGGCGUAAAGCGCACGUAGGCGGCUUUUUAAGUCAGGGGUGAAAUCCUGGGGCUCAACCCCGGAACUGCCCUUGAAACUGGAGAGCUAGAAUCUUGGAGAGGCGAGUGGAAUUCCGAGUGUAGAGGUGAAAUUCGUAGAUAUUCGGAAGAACACCAGUGGCGAAGGCGACUCGCUGGACAAGUAUUGACGCUGAGGUGCGAAAGCGUGGGGAGCAAACAGG